ACGGAAGGCAGCAGUGGGGAAUAUUGCACAAUGGGCGAAAGCCUGAUGCAGCGACGCCGCGUGAGUGAAGAAGUUAUUCGUAACGUAAAGCUCUAUCAGCAGGGAAGAAAAUGACGGUACCUGACUAAGAAGCCCCGGCUAACUACGUGCCAGCAGCCGCGGUAAUACGUAGGGGGCAAGCGUUAUCCGGAUUUACUGGGUGUAAAGGGAGCGUAGACGGUCUGGCAAGUCUGAUGUGAAAGGCAGGGGCUCAACUCCUGGACUGCAUUGGAAACUGUCAGUCUUGAGUGUCGGAGAGGUAAGCGGAAUUCCUAGUGUAGCGGUGAAAUGCGUAGAUAUUAGGAGGAACACCAGUGGCGAAGGCGGCUUACUGGACGAUAACUGACGUUGAGGCUCGAAAGCGUGGGGAGCAAACAGGAUUAGAUACCCUGGUA
RNAcentral lists this ribosomal RNA (434 nucleotides) under uncultured Clostridium sp. Its description in RNAcentral is "partial 16S ribosomal RNA". It matches the Rfam family "Bacterial small subunit ribosomal RNA", at positions 341 to 792 of the family's 1533-position model. Lineage: Bacteria; Bacillati; Bacillota; Clostridia; Eubacteriales; Clostridiaceae. The record is from RNAcentral.